UGAAUACGAGACGCUACGGCGUCGAAGCAGUCUAUGUCAUACUUCCAAGAAAAGCUUGCACUGUCAUAAACAAAUAAUGCCUGUACCAUAACCGACACAGGUGGGUAGGUAGAGUAUACUAAGGGGCGCGAGAUAACUCUCUCUAAGGAACUCGGCAAAAUGACUCCGUAACUUCGGGAGAAGGAGUGCCUUAUUUAUAAGGUUGCAAUAACAAGAUCCAAGCAACUGUUUAUCAAAAACACAGGUCUCCGCUAAGUCGUAAGACGAUGUAUGGGGGCUGACGCCUGCCCAGUGCCAGAAGGUUAAAGAAGUUGGUUAGCAUUAGCGAAGCUGAUAACUGAAGCCCUGGUGAACGGCGGCCGUAACGAUAACGGUCCUAAGGUAGCGAAAUUCCUUGUCGGGUAAGUUCCGACCCGCACGAAAGGCGUAAUGAUUUGGAUACUGUCUCAGAGAGGGGCUCGGUGAAAUAGACUUGUCUGUGAAGAUGCGGACUACCUGCACCAGGACAGAAAGACCCUAUGAAGCUUUACUGUAACUUGAAAUUGAAAUUGGACUUUAUUUGCGCAGUAUAGGUGGGAGGCAUUGAUAAUAUUCUUGCGGGAAUGUUGGAGCCAUCAGUGAGAUACCACUCUUGUAAUGUUAGAUUUCUAACUUUGGAUCAUUAUCUGGUCAAAGGACAGUUUCAGGCGGGCAGUUUGACUGGGGCGGUCGCCUCCUAAAUGGUAACGGAGGCGCACAAAGGUUUCCUCUGAACGGGUAGAAAUCGUAUCUAGAGUGUAAAGGCAUAAGGAAGCUUGACUGUGAGACCUACAAGUCGAGCAGGGACGAAAGUCGGUCUUAGUGAUCUGACGGUGCUGAGUGGAAAGGCCGUCACUCAACGGAUAAAAGUUACUCUAGGAUAACAGGCUGAUCUCCCCCAAGAGUUCACAUCGACGGGGAGGUUUGGCACCUCGAUGUCGGCUCAUCGCAUCCUGGGGCGGUAGUACGUCCCAAGGGUUGGGCUGUUCGCCCAUGAAAGCGGUACGCGAGCUGGGUUCAGAACGUCGUGAGACAGUUCGGUCCAUAUCCGGUGUAGGCGUUAGAAUAUUGAGAGGAGCCUUCUUUAGUACGAGAGGACCGAGAAGGACAUACCUCUGGUGUACCAGUUAUCGUGCCAACGGUAAACGCUGGGUAGCUAUGUAUGGAGAGGAUAACCGCUGAAAGCAUCUAAGUGGGAAGCCCACCUCAAGAUAAG
RNAcentral lists this ribosomal RNA (1234 nucleotides) under metagenome. Its description in RNAcentral is "bacterial LSU rRNA". It matches the Rfam family "Bacterial large subunit ribosomal RNA", at positions 1564 to 2808 of the family's 2925-position model. The record is from RNAcentral.